AAACUGAGGAAGCAGAGAGCAAAGG
Molecule: non-coding RNA, 25 nt
Filed under: Cricetulus griseus (Chinese hamster)
Lineage: Eukaryota; Metazoa; Chordata; Mammalia; Rodentia; Cricetidae
Source: RNAcentral